GGGCUCGCACAAGCAGUGGAGCAUGUGGUUUAAUUCGAUGAUACGCGAAGAACCUUACCAAGGUUUGACAUGUCACGCCGAGUCGCGAAAGUGACUUUUUUGCUGCUGGACUGAGUCUAGCAUUAAGCAACGUGAACACAGGUGGUGCAUGGUUGUCGUCAGCUCGUGCCGUGAGGUGUUAGGUUAAGUCCUGCAACGAGCGCAACCCUUAUCGAUUAGUUGCCUUUUAGGGAAACUAGCGAGACUGCCGGUGAUAAGCCGGAGGACGGUGAGGAUGACGUCAAAUCAGCAUGCCCCUUACAUCUUGGGCUACACACGUGCUACAAUGGUUGGGACAAUGGGAUGCAACUUCGCGAGAAGAAGCCAACCUCAAAACCCAAUCUUAGUUCGGAUUGCAGGCUGCAACUCGCCUGUAUG
RNAcentral lists this ribosomal RNA (417 nucleotides) under uncultured bacterium. Its description in RNAcentral is "bacterial SSU rRNA". It matches the Rfam family "Bacterial small subunit ribosomal RNA", at positions 917 to 1322 of the family's 1533-position model. The record is from RNAcentral.